RNAcentral lists this long non-coding RNA (487 nucleotides) under Monodelphis domestica (gray short-tailed opossum). RNAcentral's name for it is "lncRNA (ENSMODG00000043038.1)". The record is from RNAcentral. Lineage: Eukaryota; Metazoa; Chordata; Mammalia; Didelphimorphia; Didelphidae.
ACGCCCUAUGGAGACUGUUAGAAAGGAUUUAGCAAGAUCAAGCUAAGAGCAGGGAGUACUAAGGUAGAGGCAAGAGAGAAUUCUGGAACUCUGGAGAGACUGACUCUGGAGGGGCAGUUGGUGGAAUUACUCUCUGGAGUAGGAGACUGAGACCUACUUGGAUCUGUUCCUGUGUGUUUCUGAGGCUGCUUUGAUUUUCACUAGGACUCCUACCAGGCUCAAGAGGACAACUAACCACAAGACACAGCUGAAACAUCGUCUUCAUGUAAAAUCUUUCCCAAUCCCUCAGAUUCUUUCUCAUCCACCCUUAUGUUGAACUACUUGCUACCUUCCUCUGGACAGUCCUGUUUAUCAAUGUCCUUUCUAAAUGAUGGCACCAAGAAUAGACUACUCAAAAAAAAAAAUCAAUCUUCCUGAUUUGGGGAUUGGCUAGAGAAAUCUGAGCUACUAUCAUCAAUGUAACAUCAUUAAUGGCCAUUAAUUGUUG